GAUGGUGUUAGGCUCCUGAGGGUAGUCAGUAAAAGACCACGUGGUUUCCUCCUUGCUCCCUCUGGGAGAAGCCAGCGGCCAUGCUGUGAGCAGUUCUCUGGAGAUGCCCAUUUGACGAAGACUGAACCUCCUGCCAACAGCCAGUUAGGAACGAAGGCCUCCAGCCAACAGCCAUGUAUGGGAACCAUUUUGGAUAGGACUCCUCCAGACCUAGUCACAGCUUCAUGUACCUGCAGCCCUUGCUGAGAUCUUCACUGCAGUCUCACAAGAUAUCCUGAACCAGAAACAUCCAGCCAAGCCACUCCCAGGCUCCUGCCCCUUAGAAACUGGACACAAGGAGGGCUCUUAGAAAUGUGUGAGGAGACUGGUGAUCAGGCAAGGAUAUUAAAGGGUCAAAGGGUAGAGCACGGUGAUAAAAUCUGCACCUCUGCCUGCUCCUGCCGUUAAUUCUACCUCCCAUUUCAGGAAGAGAAUGUGGGGCUGAGAAAAGUUAUCUAUUGCUCAAUUGGACCUCUCCAGUUUCUGUGAGACAAUGUCCUUUCUAUGCACCUUGGGAGAAGAAAGAGAAUCACUGCUCCAUGCAACUAUUCAAAGACCCAAGCUUCUUCCAUCACAUGAUUCUACCAUCUUUUAGGAAUUUGUCUUUUUUUGCAUUUAACCAGAGUAGGAAAAGGAUGAGGAGAGGAGACAGAGAGGAUUGUGUGGGGGACAUUUUAUAGGUCAGGCCUGGAGAUGACAGCGUGACUUCCAUCUGUUUUGUUGUCCAACUGAGCCAUGUGGCCAUAUUUAACUGCAAAAGAGUUUGGGAGAUGUGGUCUAACUGCAGAUCUAGAUAAAGAAGAAACAGAUUUAUUGAACAUGUGGGCAGACUGCCACAACUGGGGACAAAUUAAGUGACAGGCAUGCCUUACUCAGAAUUACUUUUCCCAGUUGACCAUAGAGGCUAUGUUACUGUUGGGAAAAAAAACAAAACAAACAAAAAAACUCCCUGUGGAUAGCAUCUUCUGAGAAGAGGCACUGACAACACUCUGGGUUAUCUUUUCAUGGAUGUUUAUAUUACAAACGGCAUUGGAAGAUGGAAAUAGUGUCUCCCUUUGGAGCAGAGGGCAGUUUGGUGUCCAGGUUAACAAAGAUAUUAUCUCUCUCUGGGAAAAAGUUUAGACAGGUUUGCUUACAAACCUUGUUUAGAUUGAAGUUUCCUAAGUUUGAGGUUUCUUAGGUGUGACCCUAAACCAUAAUAUGCUCAGCAUCCAUGUGCGCCCAGCCCUUGCCCCACAAUCCUUGGUAGGCAAGAAGAACCAACAGAAACAUAAAACCUAUGCUGCCUGCUGUGGUACCAGUCACAAAAUCCUUUUCUUUUGCCUAGACAUUCUGUGUCUUCUGGAAGCACACAUGAAACAGUGCCAGGCUAACCUGUUAGCUUGCAAGUAAAGCCUCAGACCCAUUACAGUUUUUGAGAGUUACCAGUUCAAGUUUAUCAUGGUCAGCAUUUAGUAAAUGUCUCUGGCUAGCCAAACAUUUUUAGCUUUCCAGGAUCCCAAGUAGCAGGCUUAAACUGACAUUUCAUCUUUGGUUAAAUGAAAUAAGUGAUAACAGUGUAAAUUUUGUAGCCCCCAGGCAUAUGUAACAUAAUACCAAGGCCUCCACAUUGUACAACUCCGGGUGCUCUGUUCAUAUCAUAGUCUAUGAAUAUGAAAUAUAGCUGCUCUAACUAUUAUAAGAUUUCAUCAUAUCUAACACCCUUAAUAGUAGAACACACCUUUACUUUAGGUGUAACAGAAAUAAAAAAGAAACUUCCAACUAAACUAUGAUAAAAUGCUCUUCUGUCAUUUUGAUUUUUUUAUUGUACAUUGAAAGAGCUCUUUAAUGCUUUUUUUUUAUUUAUUUUUUCAGAGACAGGGUCUCAGCUCUGUCACCCAGGCUGGAGUGCAGUGGCACAAUCACGGCUCACUGCAGCCUCGACCUCCAGGGCUCAAGCAAUCCUCCUGCCCUAACCUCCAGAGUAGCUAGGACUACAGGCAUGUGCUACCAUGCCUGGCUAUUUUUUAAAAUUAUCUGUAGAGAGUAGGUCUCACUAUGUUGCCCAGGCUGGCCUUGAACUCCUAGGUUCAAAUGAUCCUCCUACCUCAGCCUCCCAAAGUGCUGGGAUUACAGGCAUGAGCCACCAUGGCCAGAUUUUUAUGCUUAGAUUUAUCAUAUAUCAAUCAUGUACACAUAUAAGAGAAAUACCUAUUUCUAUUCAACAUUAUACUAGGGAGUCUAGCCAGCACAAUAAGGCAAGAAAAAAAAAGAAAUAAAAGUUAUAUGAAUUGGAAAGGAAUAAAUAAAACUAGUUGCAGACAACAUGAUUAUUUACCUAGGAUGUCCUAAAAAAUAUAAAAUAAAAGCUACUGUUGAGGUUAUCCUGGUUGCAGAAUACAAGGUGAAUGUACAAAAGUCAAUUUUAUUUCUGCAUACUAGCAAUGAACAAUUAUAAAUUUAAAUUUAAAGAGAAAUGCCAUGUAUACUAGCACCAAAAAAGCUCACAAAAUAUUUAGAGAUAAAUCAAAAUAUGUGCAAGGCUUAUGCUGAAAAUUAUUAAAACAGUGAGAGAAAUCAAAGACCUAAAUAAAUAGACAUACUGCCUUCUAGAUUGGAAGACUCAAUAUUGUUAAGAUGUCAAUUCUCAAAGGAACACUUAUACAUUGUUGGUGGGAGUGUAAAUUAGUUGAACCUUUGUGGAAGACAGUGUAGUGAUUCUUCAGAGACCUAAAGACAGAAAUACCAUUCAACCCAGCAAUCCCAUUACUGGGUAUAUACCCAGAGGAAUAUACAUUGUUCUCUUAUAAAGAUCUGUGCACAUGUAUGUUCACUGCAGCACCAUUCACAAUAGCAAAGACAUGGAAUCAACCCAAAUGCCUAUCAAUGAUAAACUGGGUAAAGAAAAUGUGGUACAAAUACACCAUGGAAUACUAUGCAGCCCCCAAAAAGAACGAGAUCAUGUCCUUUGCAGGGACAUGGAUGGGGCCGGAGGCCAUUAUCCUUAGCAAACUAAUGCAGGAACGGAAAACCAAAUAUCACAUGCUCUCACUUAUAAAUAGGAGCUAAAUGAUGAAAACACAUGGACACAUAGAGGGGAACGACACAUUGGGGCCUAUCAGAGGGAAGAGGGUGGGAGGAGGGGGAAGAUCAAGAAAACUAACUAGUAGAUACUAGGCUUAACACCUGGGUGAUGAAAUAGUCUGUACGACAAACCCCGAUGACACAAGUUUACGUACGUAACAAACCUGUACAUCCUGCACAUGUACACCUGAAGUUAAAAAAAGACAAACAAAAAACCAAACCCUCCCAACCUCAAAAAACGCCCAAAACCCAAAACAAACAUAAACCAAUUUGGGAAGAAUUGACAUCUUUUUAUAAGUUUAACACAAUCCCCAGAUCCUAGAAAGGUUUUUGUAGAAACAGAAAAGCUGAUUCUAAAAUUUAUAAGGAAAAGCAGUGACAGGAAUAGUCAAAACAAUUUUGAGAAACAAGAAGAAAGUUGGAGGACUUAUACCACUUGAUUUCCAAGUUUGCUAUGAAGCUGUAGUAAUGAAGACAGCAUGAAAUUGGCAAAAGGACAGAGAAAUAGAUCAGAGGAACAGAAUAGAAUAAACCCACACUUAUAUGGUCAACUGAUUUUCAAUAAAGGUUGAAUUCAACAGAGAAAGAAUAGUCUUUUCAACAAAUGGUAAUGAAAUAAUUGGUAACAAAUGUUAACCCAUCUCUUGUACCAUAUACACACAUUAACUUGAAAUGGAUUAUUGACCCAAUUGUAAAAGUCUAAAAACCAUAAAAUUUCUACAAGAAAAUAUAGGGGAUGAUCUUUGUGACCUUGGGCUUCACAAAGAUUUCUAAGACAGGACAUAAAAAACAUGAGCCAUAGAAGAAAUUUGACAAAGUGUAGUUUAUACAUUUAACUAUUUUGCUCUUUGAAAAACACCAUAAAAAUAAAAAAAAGAUUGAGAGAAUAUUUGCAAAACAUAUACCUGAUCAGGAAUACCCAGAAUAUAUAAAGAACUCUCAUAACUAAGUAAUAGAAACACAAACAAUCCAAUUAUGAAUGACUUGAACAGCUAUUUCAAAGACACGGGUAGCAAAUAAGCUCACAGAAAGAUGCCCAACAUAAUUUGCCAACGGGAAAAUGCAAAUUAAAGCCACAAUAAGAUACCACCACAAACUAGUACAAUGACAAUUUUUAAAAGCUGAUCAUACUAAGUGCUGGUGAUGUUGCAGAGUAACUGGAAGUUUCAUUCAUUACUGGUGGGAAUGUAAAAUGGUAUAGACACACUGGAGAACAGUUCAGCAGUUUCUUAAAACGCUAAAUCUACAUUUACCGUAUGACCCAGUAAUCCUAUUGCUAAGUGUAUACCCAUGAGAAAUGAAACUGCAUUCACACAAAAACCUAUACAGGAGUCUCUUCUUAUCCAUGGUCUUGUUUCCCGUGGUUUCAGUUACGUACGGUUAACCAGAGUCUGAAAAUAGAUAGAAAAUUCCAGAAAUAAUUCAUAAGUUUUAAGUUUCAUGCAGUUGAGAUCAGCUUGGUGAAAUAUCUUGCUCUCCUGCUCAGUCCUGCCUGGGAUGUGAAUCAUCGCCUUGUACAGUGUAUUCACACUGUCUGUGCUACCUCCUCAUUAGUCACAUAGUAGUUAUCAGAUCAAAAAACAAUAGUAUAUGGCAUAGGAUUUGGUACUAUCUGCAGUUUUGGGCAUCCACUGGGAAUCUUGGAAUGUAUCCCCCAUGAAAAAAGGGGGACUACUGUACCUAAAUAUUUACAGCUUUAUUCAUAAUUGCCCAAAACUGGAAACAAUCCAAAUAUUGUUCUACUAUGAAUGGAUAAACAAGUUAUGGUAUAUUGGCACAAUGGAAUACUACUCAACAAUAAGAAGGAAUGAACUAGUCAUAAAUGCAGAGGUAUUAUGCUAAGUGAAAGAAGCCAGAUUCAAAAUGCAGCAUGACGUUAUAGAAAAGGCAAAAUAGUAGAGAUGGAAAACAGAUCAGUGGUUGCCAGGGGCUGGUAGUAUGGUAUGGGAUUGACUAUAAAGGGCAUGAGAAAACUUAAAAAAUACUCUAUCUCUUCAUUUCAGUGAUAGACACACAACUUCAUACAUUUUUAAUAAUUUGUAGAACUUUGCACCUAAGAAGUAUAUCUCCCCGUACUCCCCCAAACUCCCUUCCGAAAGAGUCAUCUCUUGCUGGCUGUAUCUCUUGACUUGAAGGUCACCCUUCUCAAGGUAGUCUGCUGUACCUGUCUUCUUACCUGUUCAGGUUUAGAGAUAAUAGCUCAGCUGACUCUAAUAUUGUGUUCCUAUGCUGUUCUUCAUGAUUUUCAUAUGUUCUGCCCACAUUUGUCAGUAGUCCCAUAUAUAAAACCAUCCUAAGUUUUACUAAGUUCAGUGUGACAUCCGUUUCUUUGCUGGGACCCUGAUGACACCAGGCACAGGUCAGUUGAGCCAGACCCUUUUAGGGUUUCCUGAAAGCUCUGCCCACCAUUUUUUACUCAUGGUUAGAAGUUAGUCAGAUGGCCAUCCUGAAUAAGAGAGGUGGGGAUAGGUAGGUGGUAUAUUAUUGUUGUUGGCUUUUUGGGGGACUGGGAAUUGUAGUUAUGAAGGAAUAUUGGAUACUGGAUAGGCAGUUAGAUGUCUGUGUCACAGAGGUAAAGAUAAAGAGAGCCUACAAGGGAAGAAACAAUAUUAAUGUGUAGUUAAGUAGACUGAGGAGAAAGGGAAUAUACAUCAAUAAUCAUUGAACUCUCAGCAACACAGUCACAUUUUAAAGGUCACUGGCAAAUCCAUAGGCCCCUGCCUUUGAAGUGCCCCACCUUAAGACUUUUUAAUGGGCUUAAAGUUUUUUUUUUUUUAUUUUUUACAAAUAUACUGGAGAAUCAUGCAAUGCUGCCAGCACUGGACGCAAUCCAGGGCCACAAGUCUGCACACUCCUUUGCUACUGGUCCUGUAAUGGCAGAACCUUUCAUCUCGCCUUUAUUGUUCACUGUGACCCCUGCAUUAUCUUCAAAAUAAAGAAACACGCCAUCUUUUCUGCGGUAUGACUUUCGUUGUCGAAUAACCACUGCUGGAUGUACCUUUUUUCUGAGCUCUGGUUUGCCUUUCUUGACUGUGGCCAUCACCGUGUCACCCACACCAGCAGUGGGAAGUCUGUUCAGCCAUCCCUUGAUCCCCUUUCACGGAGAUGACAUACAGGUUUUUGGCUCCUGUGUUGUCAGCACAACUGAUCACACUCCUACCAGAAGACCCAAGGAAAUCUGGAAUUUCACACCAGAGGACCCACCACGUCCUCGCUUCAACAUCUUGAAAGCCGGAAAGAAGAAAAAAGCACUUAAGGCCUUUUUAAGUGUGUUUUUCCCUCUUGUACAGGCCCAUGAAUCCAAUUAAUUUAUAACUUUCACCCUGGAAGAAUACAAACAAUAUGCACAAUUGUUUAACUUAAUAUUCUUUCUGUACAAAGAAUGUGAAUUUUCAAUGCAAUAAAAU
Molecule: long non-coding RNA, 6509 nt
Filed under: Homo sapiens (human)
Lineage: Eukaryota; Metazoa; Chordata; Mammalia; Primates; Hominidae
Description: HSALNT0334146
Source: RNAcentral